This 21-nucleotide non-coding RNA is filed under the name Caenorhabditis elegans. Lineage: Eukaryota; Metazoa; Nematoda; Chromadorea; Rhabditida; Rhabditidae. The record is from RNAcentral.
CAACAUCAAAAAGUUCAUCAG